CGAACGAAAUGCAAAAGAUAACCUAAAAUAUAUUCACUCCGCAAUAUUGGAGGCACGAACGAGAAGUAAAUUGUCAUUUCUGUCAAACUUAUAAAUUUAACGAUAGAAAUAAGAAUAGUUUUUGAUCGAUUUGUGUCAUAAAAUAUCACAUAAUGUUUGCAACGUUGGGAAGAGUAUGUGGUACAUCAGCACUAAGAAAUAUCAGACAAGUACAAACUUCAGCUGUUCGAACGUCUGAUCAUCUAUUUGUUCACCGAGAUACUGAAUAUGACAAUCCCAAUAUACCGUUUGAAUUUGAUGAAGCUAACAAAAAGAGGGUGGAAGCAAUUCUUGCAAUUUACCCAGAGGGUCAUAAGAGAGGUGCAAUGAUUCCUUUGCUAGAUUUGGCUCAAAGGCAGCAUGGAUGGUUGCCUAUUUCUGCAAUGCAUAAAGUGGCUGAGAUUAUUGGAGUAUCUAACAUGCGUGUGUAUGAAGUAGCAACAUUCUAUACUAUGUUUAACAGAAGACCGAUGGGAAAGUAUCAUGUCCAAAUUUGUACUUGUACUCCGUGUUGGUUAAGAGAUUCAGACUCUAUUGUAAAAGCUGUCGAGGAGGCAACAAACUGUAAGCUGGGCGGAACCUCAGCGGAUAAAUUGUUUACAUUGUCGGAAGUUGAAUGUCUUGGAGCUUGUGCCAAUGCUCCGAUGCUUCAAGUGAAUGAUGAUUAUUACGAAGAUUUGACACCAGAAACAACAAAGCACAUAAUAGGUAAAUUGAAAGCUGGAGAAAGACCGCCACCUGGUCCCCAAAACUCUCCUCGAUUUGCAGCAGACCCAGCUGGUGGACUUACAUCAUUGACAACUCCUCCACCAGGACCCGGUGAUUUUGUGCGAAGUGAUUUAUAAUUUAUUUAAAUAAUUAGAAUUAUCUGAUAGUCAACUGUUGAUCAAUAAAAAUUGACGAGUUACACAACCCCAGAUCAUACUCCAGGUGCGCUCCUACGCACAUACUGGCUCCCUGGAUUUUAUUGGGCGGGGUAGUGCGAAUUUUCACGCUUGCGUCACAGAUAAGGAAAAUGAAGCAAAAUAUCUCUGUAUGAAUCCCAUGAGUUCUUUUUAAAAUAUUUCUGUCACGAAAUAUCUUACGCUACUCAUGAAAUUCGAAUCAACAGAUCACUUUCAUGAUGAAAAUUAUUACUGCGUAUCGCAUUGCUCCUUCUACUACUACUUGAUAAUCAUUAAUUUAGAAAAUCUCACAUUAAAGAGCAAAAUAAUAGACAAGGAUGAGAUAAAAAAUGAUAAAACAAGCGAUAAUAAUGAAGAUUGUUAAAGUGAGUAAAAAUUCGAUGAUAAAAAAAAAUUGAGUCACUGGCGUAAAAUGUAAAAAGAUGAUGUGGUACAAGAAAGAGGAGAACGCAGGCGCUUCUCUCAACUCCUCUCUUUCGUCUACAUAUAAUCCCUCCCACUAUUGUGCUCUCGUUUUCUCCCUAUGAGUCGUCUAGCUUUCAACCCCCAUCGAGAACAGCAUCCAAGCUCUACGAACUAACUCGUUAGUACGCGGUACGUCGUCUGCCGGUUUGGUCUCAGCCACAUCGUUUAAUUUAUUCUUAAAAUUAAUACCCACCUCUACGCAAAUCUUUUAUGACAAUCAUUUGAUUAACAACCAUUUAAUUAAAUUUUAUAAUUAGAUUUUUAAAAUUAAAAUAUUAGAAAAAUUUUAUUAAUAUUAAUUAAAAUUAUAUUUAAAAUGCUUUUAAAUAAUAAUGAUGACGCUAAAAGGUGAUAAGUGCAAACUCGUUUGUUUAUACCGAUAUCAACGACUGAUCUAAUCUCAGGAUGUUUAUCGUGGUAAUGUAUAGCUUGUCUUAAUUACUGGCAAUAAAGUAGAUGGCUCAGGUUGAUAUAAAAUUGAGGUCAGGUGUACUAGUUUGACAAAACUAUACCUGCAUACCCUCAGGCUGACGAUUCAAAAGUCAUAAUAGUAAUUUUGCGGAUCUACAAAAGCUUUUUGGCUGAUUUCACGCUAAUAACAUCACUGGCUUGGUAAUAUUGUUGGCACGCUGAGUGCUUUAUGGUGCGUGGUAUUUGUUUAAGAGAGAAGACAUAAAAGAAAGGAGAAAAUAAAAAAGAAUGAAAAGUUGUUAGGAAAAAAAUGAAAUGGGCGUGAAAGCGAUGAAAGGUCUUUAAAAAACGUCAAGAAUAAGCAAGAAAGAAAGACAAACUCUAAAGAUUCAGUUAUUUCUAUAAUAAAAGUUAUAUUGAACUUUGUUAAGAAUAAUAUUUAUUACGACAAUUAUUGUUCUCCAUUCAUUAGUUUCUUUUUACAAAUAUUCUAUCGAAAGUAACAAAACUGUUUCACUUCAAACAGUUAUUUCGCUUGGCAAAUGUUCAAGUAUUUUUGUGUGGAAUUAUUGUUGAUUGUUGAUGAAACAUAAUCCAUCAUACAAUUGCGUGUGCGAGCGAUCAAAAUAUAGAGAAAACAAUUAACACAGGUGACUAUAAAAUUUUAUGAAUUUUAUUUAAUUUAUUUUAUCAAAAAACUAUGAAUAAUUAAACAAAUUGACA
This is an RNA transcript of Chelonus insularis, 2543 nucleotides long. It is a transcript of the gene named NADH dehydrogenase ubiquinone, with no coding region annotated. NCBI's taxonomy places the organism in Eukaryota, Metazoa, Arthropoda, Insecta, Hymenoptera, Braconidae. The record is from RefSeq and is a predicted model, not a curated record. The transcript has 5 exons.